AGGAUGAGGCCCCCGAAGGCGCUGGCGAGGGAGGAGUAGGCGACGCGGCGGAUGGAGAGGUCGAGGCAGGAGUCCCACUUGGCGUCCAGGUCGUACCGCGGCGGGAUCCCGGAGCUGGCGGGCGGGGACGUCUUCGGCGCCGGCGACGGGACCGUGGCCGGGGCGGGGGCGGCAGGUGGCGCGGGCGCGGGCGCCGCGGCGGCGUUCUCGGACGACUCCGCCAUGGGAGGGAGG
Molecule: long non-coding RNA, 234 nt
Filed under: Hordeum vulgare
Lineage: Eukaryota; Viridiplantae; Streptophyta; Magnoliopsida; Poales; Poaceae
Description: long non-coding RNA (HVUL_LNC017692)
Source: RNAcentral